AUGGCGACCGGCGCACGGGUGAGUAACACGUAUCCAACCUGCCGAUAACUCGGGGAUAGCCUUUCGAAAGAAAGAUUAAUACCCGAUGGUAUAAUCAGACCGCAUGGUCUUGUUAUUAAAGAAUUUCGGUUAUCGAUGGGGAUGCGUUCCAUUAUGCAGUUGGUGAGGUAACGGCUCACCAAACCUUCGAUGGAUAGGGGUUCUGAGAGGAAGGUCCCCCACAUUGGAACUGAGACACGGUCCAA
RNAcentral lists this ribosomal RNA (245 nucleotides) under uncultured bacterium. RNAcentral's name for it is "partial 16S ribosomal RNA". It matches the Rfam family "Bacterial small subunit ribosomal RNA", at positions 88 to 334 of the family's 1533-position model. The record is from RNAcentral.